AGACGUCUACAUUAGAUACCCGGGUAGUCCUAGCCGUAAACGAUACUCGCUAGGUGUCGGCCACGGUGCGACCGUUGUCGGUGCCGUAGGGAAGCCGUGAAGCGAGCCACCUGGGAAGUACGGCCGCAAGGCUGAAACUUAAAGGAAUUGGCGGGGAGCACAACAACGGGUGGAGCUUGCGGUUUAAUUGGAUUCAACGCCGGAAAUCUUACCGGGACCGACAGCAACAUGAAGGCCAAGCUGAAGACUUUGCCGGAUUAGCUG
Molecule: ribosomal RNA, 264 nt
Filed under: uncultured archaeon
Lineage: Archaea
Description: partial 16S ribosomal RNA
Rfam family: Archaeal small subunit ribosomal RNA
Source: RNAcentral